AUACCGGAUAAGCCCUUACGGGGAAAGAUUUAUCGCCGAAAGAUCGGCCCGCGUCUGAUUAGCUAGUUGGUGAGGUAAUGGCUCACCAAGGCGACGAUCAGUAGCUGGUCUGAGAGGAUGAUCAGCCACAUUGGGACUGAGACACGGCCCAAACUCCUACGGGAGGCAGCAGUGGGGAAUAUUGGACAAUGGGCGCAAGCCUGAUCCAGCCAUGCCGCGUGAGUGAUGAAGGCCCUAGGGUUGUAAAGCUCUUUUGUGCGGGAAGAUAAUGACGGUACCGCAAGAAUAAGCCCCGGCUAACUUCGUGCCAGCAGCCGCGGUAAUACGAAGGGGGCUAGCGUUGCUCGGAAUCACUGGGCGUAAAGGGUGCGUAGGCGGGUCUUUAAGUCAGGGGUGAAAUCCUGGAGCUCAACUCCAGAACUGCCUUUGAUACUGAAGAUCUUGAGUUCGGGAGAGGUGAGUGGAACUGCGAGUGUAGAGGUGAAAUUCGUAGAUAUUCGCAAGAACACCAGUGGCGAAGGCGGCUCACUGGCCCGAUACUGACGCUGAGGCACGAAAGCGUGGGGAGCAAACAGGAU
Molecule: ribosomal RNA, 578 nt
Filed under: Bradyrhizobium sp.
Lineage: Bacteria; Pseudomonadati; Pseudomonadota; Alphaproteobacteria; Hyphomicrobiales; Nitrobacteraceae
Description: bacterial SSU rRNA
Rfam family: Bacterial small subunit ribosomal RNA
Source: RNAcentral